This 253-nucleotide ribosomal RNA is filed under the name uncultured bacterium. Its description in RNAcentral is "partial 16S ribosomal RNA". It matches the Rfam family "Bacterial small subunit ribosomal RNA", at positions 524 to 776 of the family's 1533-position model. The record is from RNAcentral.
UACGUAGGGUGCGAGCGUUAAUCGGAGUUACUGGGCGUAAAGCGUGCGCAGGCGGCUUUGCAAGACAGAUGUGAAAUCCCCGGGCUUAACCUGGGAACUGCAUUUGUGACUGCAUGGCUGGAGUGCGGCAGAGGGGGAUGGAAUUCCGCGUGUAGCAGUGAAAUGCGUAGAUAUGCGGAGGAACACCGAUGGCGAAGGCAAUCCCCUGGGCCUGCACUGACGCUCAUGCACGAAAGCGUGGGGAGCAAACAGG